GACGAACGCUGGCGGCAGGCCUAAUACAUGCAAGUCGAACGGCAGCACAGCAGAGCUUGCUCUGUGGGUGGCGAGUGGCGGACGGGUGAGGAAUACAUGGGAAUCUGCCCAGUCGUGGGGGAUAACGUAUGGAAACGUACGCUAAUACCGUAUAUUCUCUACGGAGGAAAGAUUUAUCGCUGAUGGAUGAGCCCGCGUUAGAUUAGGUAGUUGGUAGGGUAAUGGCCUACCAAGCCGACGAUCUAUAGCUGGUCUGAGAGGAUGAUCAGCCACACUGGGACUGAGACACGGCCCAGACUCCUACGGGAGGCAGCAGUGGGGAAUAUUGGACAAUGGGCGAAAGACCUGAUCCAGCAAUACCGCGUGAGUGAUGAAGGCCUUAGGGUUGUAAAGCUCUUUUAGUAGGGAAGAUAAUGACGGUACCUACAGAAAAGACCCCGGCUAACUCCGUG
RNAcentral lists this ribosomal RNA (452 nucleotides) under uncultured bacterium. Its description in RNAcentral is "bacterial SSU rRNA". It matches the Rfam family "Bacterial small subunit ribosomal RNA", at positions 28 to 507 of the family's 1533-position model. The record is from RNAcentral.